This 582-nucleotide ribosomal RNA is filed under the name Triticum aestivum (bread wheat). RNAcentral's name for it is "partial small subunit ribosomal RNA". The record is from RNAcentral. Lineage: Eukaryota; Viridiplantae; Streptophyta; Magnoliopsida; Poales; Poaceae.
AUGAUGCAACUGAGAAGUCUGUGGAUUGACAAUAUAAGUGCUGCUGAGUGUGCAAAUAUUUUUGCUACCCUGUCAAAUAUGCCACUUCUUUCCAGCUUGCUUCUUUCUGCAAGAGAUGAGAAUGAGGCACUUUGUUUCGAGGCUCUCAAGCCAAGGUCUACACAUCUCCACAAGUUGAUCGUCAGAGGGCAAUGGGCCAAGGGAACACUGGAGUGCCCGAUAUUUUGCAACUACGGGGAAAAUCUCGAGUAUCUAGCUCUAAGCUGGUGUGACGUUGUUGAAGAUCCACUAGGGAUGCUUGCACCUCACUUGCCGAACCUCACAUAUCUGAGACUUAACAACAUGCGUAGUGCAAAUAGCUUGGUUCUUUCUGCAGAUUCCUUUCCUCUGCUGAAGACGCUUGUGUUAAAGGACAUGCCUCAUGUGAACGAGCUAAAGAUCAUGGAUGGCGCCCUUCCAUGCAUUGAUGGUCUGUAUGUCGUUUCGUUGUCGAAGCUUGGCAAGGUCCCUCAAGGCAUCGAAUCCCUUGGUUCCCUGAAGAAGCUUUGGCUGCUGCGCUUGCACAGGGACUUCAAAACUUAG